RNAcentral lists this ribosomal RNA (607 nucleotides) under uncultured bacterium. Its description in RNAcentral is "bacterial SSU rRNA". It matches the Rfam family "Bacterial small subunit ribosomal RNA", at positions 125 to 731 of the family's 1533-position model. The record is from RNAcentral.
UCUGCCCAGUAGUGGGGGAUAGCUCGGGGAAACUCGAAUUAAUACCGCAUACACCCUACGGGGAAAAGGGGGCGCUUGCGCUCUCGCUAUUGGAUGAGCCUAAGUCGGAUUAGCUAGUUGGUGGGGUAAAGGCCUACCAAGGCGACGAUCUGUAGCUGGUCUGAGAGGAUGAUCAGCCACACCGGGACUGAGACACGGCCCGGACUCCUACGGGAGGCAGCAGUGGGGAAUAUUGGACAAUGGGGGCAACCCUGAUCCAGCCAUGCCGCGUGUGUGAAGAAGGCCUUUUGGUUGUAAAGCACCUUAAGCAGUGAAGAAGACCUAACGGUUAAUACCCGUUAGCGAUGACAUUAGCUGCAGAAUAAGCACCGGCUAACUCUGUGCCAGCAGCCGCGGUAAUACAGAGGGUGCAAGCGUUAAUCGGAAUUACUGGGCGUAAAGCGAGCGUAGGUGGCUUGAUAAGUCAGAUGUGAAAUCCCCGGGCUUAACCUGGGAACUGCAUCUGAUACUGUUGGGCUAAAGUAAGUGAGAGGGAGGUAGAAUUUCAGGUGUAUCGGUGAAAUGCGUAGAGAUCUGAAGGAAUACCGAUGGCGAAGGCAGCCUCCUG